GAGUAAUGUCUGGGAAACUGCCUGAUGGAGGGGGAUAACUACUGGAAACGGUAGCUAAUACCGCAUAACGUCGCAAGACCAAAGAGGGGGACCUUCGGGCCUCUUGCCAUCGGAUGUGCCCAGAUGGGAUUAGCUAGUAGGUGGGGUAACGGCUCACCUAGGCGACGAUCCCUAGCUGGUCUGAGAGGAUGACCAGCCACACUGGAACUGAGACACGGUCCAGACUCCUACGGGAGGCAGCAGUGGGGAAUAUUGCACAAUGGGCGCAAGCCUGAUGCAGCCAUGCCGCGUGUAUGAAGAAGGCCUUCGGGUUGUAAAGUACUUUCAGCGGGGAGGAAGGGAGUAAAGUUAAUACCUUUGCUCAUUGACGUUACCCGCAGAAGAAGCACCGGCUAACUCCGUGCCAGCAGCCGCGGUAAUACGGAGGGUGCAAGCGUUAAUCGGAAUUACUGGGCGUAAAGCGCACGCAGGCGGUUUGUUAAGUCAGAUGUGAAAUCCCCGGGCUCAACCUGGGAACUGCAUCUGAUACUGGCAAGCUUGAGUCUCGUAGAGGGGGGUAGAAUUCCAGGUGUAGCGGUGAAAUGCGUAGAGAUCUGGAGGAAUACCGGUGGCGAAGGCGGCCCCCUGGACGAAGACUGAC
RNAcentral lists this ribosomal RNA (640 nucleotides) under Escherichia coli. Its description in RNAcentral is "bacterial SSU rRNA". It matches the Rfam family "Bacterial small subunit ribosomal RNA", at positions 108 to 744 of the family's 1533-position model. The record is from RNAcentral. Lineage: Bacteria; Pseudomonadati; Pseudomonadota; Gammaproteobacteria; Enterobacterales; Enterobacteriaceae.